This 719-nucleotide ribosomal RNA is filed under the name uncultured anaerobic ammonium-oxidizing bacterium. RNAcentral's name for it is "bacterial SSU rRNA". It matches the Rfam family "Bacterial small subunit ribosomal RNA", at positions 565 to 1274 of the family's 1533-position model. The record is from RNAcentral.
GAGCACGUAGGUGGGUUUGUAAGUCAGGUGUGAAAGCCUUCUGUUCAAAGGAAGAACGGCACCUGAAACUACAGAUCUUGAGUGUAGGAGGGGAGAGUGGAACUUCUGGUGGAGCGGUGAAAUGCGUAGAUAUCAGAAGGAACGUCGGCGGCGAAAGCGACUCUCUGGCCUAUUACUGACACUGAGGUGCGAAAGUUAGGGGAGCAAACGGGAUUAGAUACCCCGGUAGUCCUAACCGUAAACGAUGGGCACUAAGUAGAGGGAAUUACCAAUGUUCUCUCUGCCGUAGCUAACGCAUUAAGUGCCCCGCCUGGGGAGUACGGCCGCAAGGCUAAAACUCAAAAGAAUUGACGGGGGCUCGCACAAGCGGUGGAGCAUGUGGCUUAAUUCGAUGCAACGCGAAAAACCUUACCGGGGUUUGACAUGGUAGAAGUAGGAGCCCGAAAGGGUAACCAACGGUAUCCAGUCCGUAACUAUUACAGGUGUUGCAUGGCUGUCGUCAGCUCGUGUCGUGAGACGUUGGGUUAAGUCCCCUAACGAGCGAAACCCUUGUUUUUAGUUACCAUCGGGUAGUGCCGGGUACUCUAAAAAGACUGCCGUCGUCAAGACGGAGAAAGGUGGGGAUGACGUCAAGUCAUCAUGGCCCUUAUACCCCGGGCUGCACACGUGCUACAAUGGUCGGUACAAAAGGAAGCAAGACCGAGAGGUGAAGCGAAUCC